RNAcentral lists this ribosomal RNA (453 nucleotides) under uncultured bacterium. RNAcentral's name for it is "bacterial SSU rRNA". It matches the Rfam family "Bacterial small subunit ribosomal RNA", at positions 340 to 786 of the family's 1533-position model. The record is from RNAcentral.
UACGGAAGGCAGCAGUGGGGAAUAUUGCACAAUGGGCGCAAGCCUGAUGCAGCCAUGCCGCGUGUAUGAAGAAGGCCUUCGGGUUGUAAAGUACUUUCAGCGGGGAGGAAGGCGAUGCGGUUAAUAACCGCGUCGAUUGACGUUACCCGCAGAAGAAGCACCGGCUAACUCCGUGCCAGCAGCCGCGGUAAUACGGAGGGUGCAAGCGUUAAUCGGAAUUACUGGGCGUAAAGCGCACGCAGGCGGUCUGUUAAGUCAGAUGUGAAAUCCCCGGGGCUUAACCUGGGAACUGCAUUUUGAAACUGGCAGGCUUGAGUCUUGUAGAGGGGGUAGAAUUCCAGGUGUAGCGGUGAAAUGCGUAGAGAUCUGGAGGAAUACCGGUGGCGAAGGCGGCCCCUGGACAAAGCUGACGCUCAGGUGCGAAAGCGUGGGGAGCAAACAGGAUUAGAUACC